This 253-nucleotide ribosomal RNA is filed under the name uncultured bacterium. Its description in RNAcentral is "partial 16S ribosomal RNA". It matches the Rfam family "Bacterial small subunit ribosomal RNA", at positions 524 to 776 of the family's 1533-position model. The record is from RNAcentral.
UACGGGGGGGGCAAGCGUUGUUCGGAAUUACUGGGCGUAAAGGGCUCGUAGGCGGUUUGUCGCGUCUGUCGUGAAAGCCCACGGCUUAACCGUGGGUCUGCGGUGGAUACGGGCAGACUAGAGGCAGGUAGGGGAGAAUGGAAUUCCCGGUGUAGCGGUGAAAUGCGCAGAUAUCGGGAGGAACACCAGUGGCGAAGGCGGCAUCCUGGCCCUGUCCUGACGCUCAGGGGCGAAAGCGUGGGGAGCAAACCGG